This is a long non-coding RNA of Manis pentadactyla (Chinese pangolin), 821 nucleotides long. RefSeq lists it as uncharacterized. The transcript has 3 exons. The record is from RefSeq and is a predicted model, not a curated record. NCBI's taxonomy places the organism in Eukaryota, Metazoa, Chordata, Mammalia, Pholidota, Manidae.
UAGUGGGAAUCUCGAACUUCACUUGCCCCCGAACUCCUGAUUUCUCCCUCUAAACCUGCUCCACCUACAGUCUUUCCCAUGUCAACUGAGUAUGGCCAGGCAGGGACUGCAUCCAUCUUCCCCUACAGCUGGGUCCUGGCGUGAAGCACAUGGCUUGGCACAUGUCACAUUCUCAGUGACAGUUGACACUUGAGAGAUCAUGGGAUUUAAAAUGUGCAGUGGAAGAUUGAGACAUGGAGAAGCCUGCCCACCAUGUCACAGCGGCUGCUAGAAAAUUUAAAACUACAUCUGUGGUUCCACUGUGGCUGAUACUGUAUUUCUGCUGUACAUCCCUGCCUUGGAAGCUCCUGGGUCCCAGGGGACCAGGGCACCCUUUUGCCACCACCCCCAUCUCCAUGCAGAAUGUCGCUGUCACCUCCGCUGAGCAGGAUCUCGGCUCCUCCUGUAGGUUCUGUGCCAUCUACCAGACAGAACCAUCAACCCUCUGCAGCUCCUGCAGCCCUAAAGCAGGCGCUUCCACCCAGCUUGAGUCCUCGAGAUCUUCAAGCAGCCAGCGCCCCGGGCAGGGUGGAGGAGCGGAGCGUCUCCUUCCCCUUUGUGCUUCUAUUGAGAGGCCCAGAGCAGAGAAAGCUGUUAGUGCUCCAGCAUCUCAGAGCGCACAGAAGGCCUUUUCUUUUUUUAUUUACUGCCGUCUCUGCGGGAAAACAAUGGAGGUCAGCCAGGAUCAGACUUUUGCUUUGUUUUGUUUCCUAUAUAUUAUAUAUUUGCUUUUUUUAAAAAAUCCUUUCAAAUAAAUUUUACUGAGGUAUGAUUUAUAUGCA